AAAUAGUUGUGUGUUGACACGAUGCAAAACUGGACCAUCCCGUCGAAACAUUUUGAUCAGUGGCUCUGUAGAAAAGAAAAGAAGAGGAUCUGUCAACAUGAUGCCAAAAUGGAUCAAUCAGGGUCAAAAUAUUGAAUAUAAAUUAAUGGAGGUUACAUUACUUGUAAAAGGGAAGGUUGAAACUGAAAUAACAAGUUAAAAACAGUAGAGAAAUUAAAAAGAAAAAACAAUGAAUUUAAGGAUUACAGAAACUGAGAAAGACAAAUUUAAUUUGUUUUGGGAACUAUAGAAUAUGAUCCUAACUCCAAAGUUUCUCAAUAAAAUUUCUACAACUUGUUUUGGCAUUUAAAAGAUCCAAACAAUAAUAACAUGUGAAGAACAAAAAAUAAUAUACCUGGAUUCAGCUAUCGAUGUUCUUCAAGUGCUGGUUAAUUUGCUGAGGCAGUAUUCAGAAGAAGAAGAAGAAGAAGAAGAAGAAGCACAGAUCUGAGAAGAGUAUAUAUAGGUUAAGCUAGUUCAUUGUGAUGAGAUGUGGAAAGGAAAAUAGUUUUGUUGUUUGACAAGAAGGAAGUUGCUAGGAAGGAAGGAAGGAAGGAAGGAACAACUUUAAUUAAUCAACCUGCAAAAAGCUAUUGAUCGAUGUUCUUCAAGUGCUGGUUUGCUGAGGCAGUAUUCAGAAGAAGAAGAAGAAGAAGAAGCACAGAUCAGAGAAGAGUAUAGGUUAAGCUAGUUCAUUGUGAUAAGAUGUGGAAAGGAAGAUAGUUGUGUUGUUUGACAAGAAAGAAG
Molecule: long non-coding RNA, 786 nt
Filed under: Populus tremula
Lineage: Eukaryota; Viridiplantae; Streptophyta; Magnoliopsida; Malpighiales; Salicaceae
Description: long non-coding RNA (PTRE_LNC003343)
Source: RNAcentral